This 377-nucleotide ribosomal RNA is filed under the name uncultured bacterium. Its description in RNAcentral is "bacterial SSU rRNA". It matches the Rfam family "Bacterial small subunit ribosomal RNA", at positions 521 to 896 of the family's 1533-position model. The record is from RNAcentral.
UAAAACGUAGGUACCGAGCGUUAUCCGGAUUUACUGGGCGUAAAGCGCGUUCAGGCGGCUUGGCAAGUCGGGCAUGAAAUCCUUCGGCUCAACCGGGGGAGGCUGUCCGAUACUGCUGGGCUGGAGGGCAGUAGAGGGUGGUGGAAUUCCGGGUGUAGUGGUGAAAUGCGUAGAGAUCCGGAGGAACACCAGUGGCGCAAGCGGCCACCUGGACUGUACCUGACGCUGACACGCGAAAGCUAGGGGAGCGAACGGGAUUAGAAACCCCGGUAGUCCUAGCUAUAAACGAUGUUGACUAGGUGUCGACGGUCUAAACCCCGCCGGUGCCGCAGCUAACGCACUAAGUCAACCGCCUGGGGACUACGGCCGCAAGGUUA